Molecule: long non-coding RNA, 3465 nt
Filed under: Physcomitrium patens
Lineage: Eukaryota; Viridiplantae; Streptophyta; Bryopsida; Funariales; Funariaceae
Description: long non-coding RNA (PPAT_LNC001271)
Source: RNAcentral
AUUAGUAGUUUUUUUUUCCCUUCUUAUCCAAUUGCAUUGAUGCAUAUCCAACCUCUUUACUUGUUGUAUCUUUUUAUAAAUAUUAUGUUUGAUAAAUUUUAUUAUGGUAUAUAUUCCAUACUAGCAUUUUUACUUUUGUUAUGUCUAUAUAUAUAUAUAUAUAUAUAUACAUUUAUAUACAUUUAAUCUUUGACGGAUUUAUUUGUUGCUUUUGUCACACAAUUAGUAAUAAAUAAUUCAUCAUUGGUCCUUUAGUCAAAACAGAUCAUGUUACAUAUGUUUGAUAAUAUUUAUAGCAAGCAUUAAGUCUUCAUCUCCUUUGUGUUUUAUUUUUUUUAUUAGAUAGGAUUGAAUUAAGAAAAUUUAAUCUGUUAAUUUAAAACAACUUUUUGUGUUAUUUUUGAGACUAUACUCUGCACUAUUUUUAUUUAUUUUUCAGUAUAAAUUGUUGUUGUUGUUGUUCUUUUCGUUAUUAUUAUUAUUAUUAUUAUUAUUUGUUUUAUUUAAAAAAUAGAUUUUUUUACAACAAACCUUUUUGAAGUUUCACUAGACUUAAUUUACUAAAUAAUUUUUUUCACUUUACUAAAUUGAAAAGGUUUAUUUCAAUAUAUUUGACAUAAAUAUUUUACUAUAUUUGACUUAUUGUGCUAAUGUGUACGCUCUUUUACUUUUGUAAACUGCUUUAGAUACUUAUCUUGCAUAAUUUGGAAGAUUGUGAAUGCUUCUAUUUUAUAUGAUUCUGAAUUGAGACUCUAGAUUAUGUACAUACAUACACGCAUACACCUCAAAUUGAUAUAUAUAUAUAUAUAUAUAUAUAUAUGUAUGUAUCUUCUAUUGACCUACAUCAUCUAAAGCACAUAAAAUGUUGAUACUCUUGUUGAUAAAGUUCUGGUUUUUUUAUUUACAUCUUCGAAAUUAAACAACAUUAAAAUUUAGGUAUUUUUCAUUUCUUAUCCCUAUCUCUUUCCACUAAAUAUCAAUGUUUAACUUUGGUUUUGCUUUAGAAUAAAAAGGUUUCUUACCUAGUCUUUAGAAUGACAUUAUUAUUAGAAUUGUAAUAUAAACACUAACAUUCUAAUUAUUGGAUUCAUUUCUAGCUCUCAACCAAAUAUUACUACCAUACACACACACACACACACACACAUAUAUAUAUAUAUAUAUAUAUAGAAACAUUAAAAGAAACACAAAGAGACAAGGUGAAAUGCUCACAGGUAUUGGAGAAACUGUUGUAGGUAAAGGAAUCCAGAAACUUCUGUGAGAAGUUGUAUGCAGGAUGGAAGAAGAAGAAGAAGCAGAAAUAGAAGCACCAGGCCUUACUGCAAUAGCCACCAUGAAGUAAAUAAGUGAUUGUUGCACACACACUUACUCUCUCAACUCAACACACACUUAAACACACACCCACAUCUGUGCACAAAGCUUCCAUACAACAAUGGAUAACUGUUAUAUGUUUGCCAAACCCAACAAAGCAUCUCAACCCUAGUUCUUUAAUCACAAGGUAGCAGCACUUCUACCUGGUCCCCACUGAUCAUUACUUUUGACAAUCCUUCUUGAAAAUAAUUGUUGGUUAUUGAUUUAUGUUCUUACUAAGAUGAAGCAAAUUAAGACAUAAUCCAAUAUAAGGCAUUAGGAAGUGUGCAGAGAGGUUGAUGGAAGCAAAUUUUUAUCAUUUGAUUUUACAAAUGAAAAAAAAACAUUUGUAACAUAGCUUUUCAAAAUGGUUUUCUAAUUAUGAUGUAGCAGUAGAACAUCUCAUACAAUCAUAAAAAAAUAAAAUAAAAUGUGACCUCAAAUAAUUAAAUGACAGGCACAAGUAAAAACCUCAAUCAAUACUGAAGAUGUUGUGUUGUUACAGCAUCUGAGGCCUUUCCCCAACUUCAAAUAAAGUCACAAAAAAGUGUAUUAACAUUGUGAAGAACACCCCUCUAUCACUGCUUAGUAUUUGGAAUAACAAAAGGAUGCUGAUAUUUUGAAGCAUGUAAAGCCAAUUGGAACACCAAGCUCUGCAUCUUUGGGAAAAAGUAAAUAAAUACUAAAUAUCAUCACCUACAAAAUGUAUGUAUUUUUCACAACUAUAAUCUUAUGGAUGAGAACUCAAAAACAAAAUAAUGUAAAAUUAAUUAAUUUUUUUUCCAUGAGUUUCAUGAGUUAUCUUUGGAUUUCUAGGGAAGUCACUUGUAUUUUCAUAAUUAUGCUUCGAAAUUGGUAUUACACUUCCAAUACACUUUCUUACAUUGUAUCAAAACUUGGUGCCUUAGAUUGCUCAAAUUGCUUUAAUGAGGUUCUUAGCAAGUCAUGGCCUUUCAAAUGUGGCCUUUCAAUAACUUUUGAACUACAAAAAAUAAUAUAGAAAUUGUGGACUUUCUUGAAAAGUGGUGAAUCUGUUUUGAGCCUAAUCCAGAAAUUAACUUUCUUUGGGUAACUUAGAAGAAGCAAUGCUAAUAAAGAACAUAAUUAAAUGUUCAAAAAUACUUUGGAGAGUCUUUGGUUAGACCUUAAUCCUACUUCUGUAGGGGAACAAGAAUUGGAAGUCAACAACAUGAACAAAUAAUGAAAACAGAUUUUAGAUUUCAGCUUGGGAAGACAAUAUUAAAUCUUUUUGGAGAAUGCAUUUUAGGAAUCAAACAAAAAAUUAACAUAAAAUAAAGUAAAAUGCAAGAUUAGUGGAACACAUUAGCGAGUUUAGAGGCUCAUGCAAACUUAUGAAGUAAUUUUUUACUUUGAAAAUUUUAAUUUUUAAUUUUAAUUUUAAUUUUUUUCAUUUUGUUUUUGUAAUUUUUUAGUUGAACUUUUUGAUAGAUGCUUGUGGCAUAAUUCCACAUGAACUCAAUUAUAUGAAUGUGAAUGAAUAUAAAUAAUAAAAUAAAGAAAUAAAUACCUAGUACGUACCUUAUAUUCAUGAAGGAAAAUAAGUAUUACAUUACAAAAAAAUGAUGGUUACUGUUGGCAUCUUUCGAAGGGAGAAAAGCAAUAUGAGUUUAUAAAGGUCCACAGAAGGUCAUUUUGAAAAACUUUUAACACUCUGUGUUAACUAUUGCUUUGAUAAAGUUUUUUUUUUUAAAAAUAAAAAAUGAAGAUAAUAUUAUAUGAUAUGUAGAUGUGGAUUAGAUGCAUGUAAGCAGGCAAUUUCAGUCAUAAUUUACAAAUCCAAGGUUUCUACCCACAGGUAUUGGAAAAUAAAAAUAUAAUAAAAUAACAUACUCAAACCACACAAUAAACUUUGGAAGAUGUAUAAAAAGUAGAAAACUUUAAACCUAAUAUAUUUGUAGCUUGAAGAACAAUAUUUGUGCAACCAAAAUUAUAGCAAAUGUGAAUUUAAAGCUUGCAAAAAAAUACUUAUUAGAAGAGGCUAAUUUUAAGGUACUAGUUAGUAUAAUUUGGUUCACUCAAAAAUAGAAAUUUAAAUUGAUAUUGCAUAUGUAAUGAAAGUUGUUAGUUGGUACACAACAAAUGUUGACCAAAAAAUAU